Molossus molossus (Pallas's mastiff bat) is the source of this 105-nucleotide small nuclear RNA. The record is from RefSeq and is a predicted model, not a curated record. Lineage: Eukaryota; Metazoa; Chordata; Mammalia; Chiroptera; Molossidae.
GUGUUUGGUUCGGCAGCACACAGACUAAAAAUUGGAACGAUGCAGAGAUGAGCAUGGCCAUUGCACAAGGAUGACAUGCAAAUUCGUGAAGCAUUCCAUAUUUUU